UACGUAGGGGGCAAGCGUUGUCCGGAUUUAUUGGGCGUAAAGAGCGUGUAGGCGGCUUUACAGGUCCGUUGUGAAAACUCGAGGCUCAACCUCGAGACGCCGGUGGAAACCGUAAAGCUAGAGUCCGGAAGAGGCGAGUGGAACUCCUGGUGUAGCGGUGGAAUGCGCAGAUAUCAGGAAGAACACCAACGGCGAAGGCAGCUCGCUGGGACGGAACUGACGCUGAGGCGCGAAAGCGUGGGGAGCGAACAGG
RNAcentral lists this ribosomal RNA (253 nucleotides) under uncultured bacterium. RNAcentral's name for it is "partial 16S ribosomal RNA". It matches the Rfam family "Bacterial small subunit ribosomal RNA", at positions 524 to 776 of the family's 1533-position model. The record is from RNAcentral.